Molecule: non-coding RNA, 72 nt
Organism: Phrynosoma platyrhinos (Desert horned lizard)
Lineage: Eukaryota; Metazoa; Chordata; Lepidosauria; Squamata; Phrynosomatidae
Source: the annotation of a GenBank genome assembly
GCCAGUGUGGUGUAGUGGUUUGAGUGUUGGACUAUGACUCUGGAGACCAGGGUUCUAGUCCCAGCUCGGCCA